UCUAUGUGGAUGCUGAUAAAGUGAGCAGAAAAUGUCCAUCAUAGCCUUCUCCCUCUAGAUGUUUACAGCCUGAAGACUGCUACCCUACAGACUAGCUAACCUGCCUCCUUAAUCUAACUGUAUACCAGAAACCUCCCUGGUUCAGCCGUAAGCAAUAAUCUUGCCUCCAGUCUAACUAUGUAUAAUAGACCCACUGAGUUUCCUGGGUACUGUGGCUUCUCCAUUGGAGAGCCUAGUCAGCUCAAAUCCAGAUCUUCUGUGUCUGUUUGUCUUUUAUUUUCCAUCCCUUCAGUUCCCCUAUAAGAGCUGACCCUGGACCUGUGCAGGAUGAAACAGACAAAAAUACAUCUCCUACUUUAGGAGGCAUCCCCAGAGUAGGCUGGACCUGAAAGGUGUUCUUGUCUCUGAUGGAGAUUGGAGAAUCACUGCAGGCCAAUUUGCAUUUGGAAGAUUGGAGCAACAAGAUUUGAAGGAAGUUGUAUAAAUUUGUCUGCACUGGUACUCACACAGAAGAAUAUGCUUAUUGCUCUAAUCUGGCACAAAAGAGAGUUACUCUGACUUAAUAAAUUGCUUCAACUG
This 579-nucleotide long non-coding RNA is filed under the name Mus caroli (Ryukyu mouse). Its description in RNAcentral is "lncRNA (MGP_CAROLIEiJ_G0005402.1)". The record is from RNAcentral. Lineage: Eukaryota; Metazoa; Chordata; Mammalia; Rodentia; Muridae.